This is a non-coding RNA of Elaeis guineensis (African oil palm), 4049 nucleotides long. The record is from RefSeq and is a predicted model, not a curated record. NCBI's taxonomy places the organism in Eukaryota, Viridiplantae, Streptophyta, Magnoliopsida, Arecales, Arecaceae.
UUUUUAAAGGUUGGGUUUAGUUAACCUCAACUUAUCCAAUUAAAACAUGGGACUGAAAUUUAUUAAGAGAUUUACCAUGAAAGUUAGUUGAUGCCCGCAUCAUUUCCUCCGGGGUGGAAAGAUCUCGAUCCUGUCAAGAUGGCUUCCAUGUAGUUUUCGUACAAGUCUUUGCGAAGACUGAUGUUCAGCUUCUUCCACCUAGUUACAAUCUGAUAAUGGUCGUCCUUCCCACUUAACAAGGAAUCGUCGAGUCACUCCUUGACGUGUAGCAGUAUUACGCACAUCCACGAUGUCCUCAAUCCGGUCCGUUGUACUGUUGCUCGUGUUAUGAAAAGGCGAAGCAUUGGUUUCAGUAAUUAUUGGUGGAUCCCCAUAGAAUUUGGAUGUUGAAUACUGGUGAAGUUGGUAUGUCGGUCGGAAGUUUUAGUAGAUAAGCAUUAGGUCCUAAUCUUUUGAUGAUGCGAUAACGGCUAAAUUUUUUCCUGCUCAGUUUGCUAUACGUACGAACUGGAAAUAUUUCUUUUUGGAAAUGGACCAUGACAAAAUCCCUUUCGUCGAACACUUUCUCUUUUCGAUGUUGAUCGGUGGCUUCCAUAUAUUUAUGAGAUGAAACCUAUAGCUUAUCAAGGAUACUUUGAUGUGUUUCCUCAAUUUUUUUUAAGUAAGCUUCUGCAUCAGCACUGAUUCUUUCGAAAAAAGAUAGAGGAUUUCUAUUUAGGAUGUGAGAAAUAGGUCGGCCAUACAAGGCUUCAAAAGGGUAUUUUUCAAUUGUUCUGUUAAUAGAGCUGUUAUAGGUGAAUUCAGCUUGUGGUAGAAUUAAGUCUCAUUGGUAUGGCUUUUCUCCUGUGAAACACUUUUGUAAAUUUUCUAGGGAUCGAUUGACCAUUUUAGUUUGUCCAUCUGUUUGGGGAUGGUACGCACUGCUGAAUUAUAAUUUUAUUCCCAAUUUAGACCAAAGAGUUCUCCAAAAAUAGCUUAAAAAUUUAGUAUCUCUAUCUAAUGUGAAAGAUUUAGGAAUGCCAUGCAGACGUACUACUUCUUUGAAAAAUAAGUUCGUUAUAUGUGAUGCAUCUGAAGUUUUUUAACAUGGUAUGAAAUGUGCCAUUUUUGUGAAUCGAUUAACAACAACAAAAAUUAAAUCUACUUUUCGAGCAGUUCGUGAUAAGCCUAAUACAAAGUCUAGGGUGAUGUCCUCCCAAGGAGCAAUAGGCAUCGGUAAAGAUGUAUAUAACCCCAUGUUUUGUUUAUGGCCUUUAAAAGUUUGACAAGUUGGGCAUCUCUCUACAAAUCUCACAACAUUUCUCCGCAUCUUAAGCCAAAAGUAUCUUUCUUGUACUAAUCCCAAAGUCUUGUCUUGACCAAAAUGUACUCCUAAACUUUUGCUGUGCAAUUCUUGUACCAAGUUCUCUCUAAGUGAUCCUUCAGGUAUACCAAAAUCAUAUUUCUUUAAAUAAAUAUCCAUCCUGAAUGAAAAAGAAAAUUCUGGAUCUACCUCUUCGCUGUCCUAUUUGGGUGUUAUCCUCUUCGUAAUCUGAGCCUGGAUUGGCCCCUCUUCUCUAUUUGAGUCUAGAUUGGCCAUGCCUCUCUCUUAUUAUUACUAUAAGUGUCGCUCGAUGCCCCACUCAGAGUUGACGGCUGAACAUAAGCUUUCAUGACUUCUUUAGAAAUUGUAGUGCUCUUCUUGUUUGCUGUUCCUGUUGUGCAGAGCAAAAAAUUAUAGGCUGAAGCAAUUACAAUGUUGAUUUGCUGCUGAAAAUCAGUCCAGAACAGUUGAAAGUUGAAGUUACUUGCAGCUGAAAGGAACUUUGAUGCUUCUCAAUAGCUUGGGCUGAGAGCAGAGAAUUAUAGGUUGAAGCAAUUACAGUACUGAUUUGUUGCUGAAAAACAGUUCAGAACAGUUGAAAAUUGGAGUUACAGCUGAAGGAAACUUUGACGCUUCUCAAUAGCUUGGGCUGAGGUAUUAAUUUUAACCCAAAGCUCUCCACUUUCAUCUAAACCUAUCUAAACCUAUUUGAAACCCAUUUUUAACCUAGAACCUACAACUUCCACUCCACUCCACAAAUCUGAACUUAUCUAACUAAAGACUUGGGACUGAUGUUUAUUUUGAGAGUCGUUAGAAAGUUUGUUUUCUGUUAGUUGCUUUGUUAAUAAAUUGUUAUUCGAAUAAAUUAUGAUUUAAUUAAGUUUAUGUUUGACUUUUUUUUUAAUUCCAAUAAAAUUUGGUACAUUUUCUUGUGAUUCAAUUAAUCAUUUUGGUUUCUUUCCCUAUUGAAUUGUAUUUUGUUUUCUUAUUUAUUGCCAGUGGUUCUCUAAAAGUGGGAAAACAAUAUUUGUAGUGCAUCAGAUGCCUUGCUGGCAUUUGGUCGCUCUUAUGGAGUUUUCAUGGACUAUGUGGUAUAAUUUCUCAUUCUUGUCGGUUCCUUUUUUUGGAAAGGAACAUGAGAAAUAUGUUAUAUGGUAUUAUUGACUUUUGGUGAAUAGUGAGUAUUCUGCUCUAUCCUAAAGUGGCCUUCAAUUAAAUUUCAUGGAAGCAGGAUCAUGAUUCCAAACAAUGGUCUUAAAUUACAGCCACCAUGUAUGUUGCUUACGUUUUGAUUUUGUUUAAUGUUAAUGCUCUAUAAGCUUAUUCUUCAAAACUGUGGGCAUAAUUUACUCAUGUUCUUAUUGGUUUUUGUCAUCAAAGAUAAUGUAGUUGUUGAAGUAUAAAGUACCAGAAUACAGGUCUGAAGUCAUAUUGGCACAUGUGGUGUACAUCUGCUCAUGCGGCCACUGUAGUGGUUAAUUUAAUCUGCCUUCUGGUGAAUGUUCAUUGCUAGCAUUGCGGAGAGAUAUGUGAAUUACAAUUUUUUUAGAAGGUACUUAUGAAACUUUGAUUUAAUAGAUUUGCUUCUAAUAUAACGUAUUUGUCAAUAUCAGAUGUUUAAGAUUUUCUUGUCAAUAGUGGAUUUCACCGUUCUGAUAAAAAGCUUUAAUGAAACAAAUAUUUUGAGCAUUAUCAGUGGCAUUAUAUCUUCCAAACAGAAUAGUCUAGAUGUGUGCACAUGUGAUUUGACAUAUCGUGCUUGGUAUUGGAAUUUAUGUAUGGUUGGUAUGUAUUCCAAUAACAUAUUCAACAAAAAGUUUUUUUUUUUUUUUGUUAUUUGAAUAUGUAUAUAGUUUGUAGAUGCUUGGACGCAUGAUUUGCAGGUUCUCUUAUGGAAUAUUGUUUUUUGUGAUGGAAACUGUUGUUGUGUCUGGGUCCGGCAAAAACCUGAGUAUGAAUCAGUGAUCCAACGCGCUUAGGCUCAUGACUUUUCAAUAUUUCCAUCUAGUGUAUGAUUGAGACAUCAAAAUAUGCACUCAUGGAAGCUUUAACGAAUGUACAUGGUGGUAAUUUUUUAUUUCUAAUGCAUCUCUGAUGAAUGUUGGUAACUUAAUUAUUCAUGAUCUUGUUUGAAUUUUUUCUUUGUUCGGGACAAUGAUAGAGACUUGAAAGAGAUCUUUUUCCAAUUUUCAAAAUUAUUUUUUAGGCCAAGAUGAAGUGCCGUGGCCCUUGAAAUAGCAUCAGCUGGCACACCUGGGAUUUCCGUUUCUUGUUCAUGGGUGGACAAUUCGAUAUUGACAUCAAGAGUUACUUAUGAUGAAUGUGUGGCUUUCGUAGACACUUGGCAGUACUUUUUAGAAAGUUGAUUGAUAAAUUGUGAAGAAAUAAUUAAGGUUCAUUGGCUGAUUAGUCAUUGUAGGGGUUAAUUUCUUCAUAGAAACAGUGUCUAUGCAGGUAACAGGUAUCAGAAACCAAGGCUGGUUGCAGACUGAAAAAGUGUAGUGUCAAUACACCCAAUGUAUUAGUAGGAGGCCUGGAAACAAGAGAUAAUGGAAAAAAGUGUGCUAUAUUGAGGAUUUGUUCUUCUACAACGGAAGAAUGUGGAUUUCUUCUGUCAUAAUUUAGAGAAUUUUAACUUGUGGCAUGCAUUUGUUUAUCACUAUGAGAAAAGAUCUGGCCUUUCUUGUGGAUUUCUCCAAUGAUUAAUAGGUGAGGCUUGAUUACGGAUUAUUGGAUUGAGUUGGUA